CCUACGGGAGGCAGCAGUGAGGAAUAUUGGACAAUGGACGCAAGUCUGAUCCAGCCAUGCCGCGUGCAUGAAGACGGCCCUAUGAGUUGUAAACUGCUUUUGUACGGGGGUAAACGCAGAUACGCGUAUCUGUCUGAAAGUAUCGUACGAAUAAGGAUCGGCUAACUCCGUGCCAGCAGCCGCGGUAAUACGGAGGGGUCAAGCGUUAUCCGGAUUUAUUGGGUUUAAAGGGUGCGUAGGCGGUCGGAUAAGUUAGAGGUGAAAUCCCGAGGCUCAACUUGGGAAUUGCCUCUGAUACUGGUCGGCUAGAGAGUAGUAGCGGUAGGCAGAAUGUAUGGUGUAGCGGUGAAAUGCGUAGAGAUCAGACAGAACACCGAUUGCGAAGGCAGCUUACCAGACUACGUCUGACGUUGAGGCACGAAAGCGUGGGGAGCAAACAGGAUUAGAUACCCGUGUAGUC
Molecule: ribosomal RNA, 460 nt
Filed under: uncultured bacterium
Lineage: Bacteria
Description: partial 16S ribosomal RNA
Rfam family: Bacterial small subunit ribosomal RNA
Source: RNAcentral